AUCCAGUGACGAGUCCCAAAUAGAACGAAAUUCGCGUUAUCCUGGAU
This 47-nucleotide non-coding RNA is filed under the name Trichobilharzia regenti. Lineage: Eukaryota; Metazoa; Platyhelminthes; Trematoda; Strigeidida; Schistosomatidae. The record is from RNAcentral.